GUCUGUAUGAAGUAAUGAAUAUAAAGUCUAACCUGCCCACUGAAAUAUAUUUAAAGGGCCGCGGUAAUUUGACCGUGCGAAGGUAGCAUAAUCAAUAGCCUUUUAAUUGGAGGCUUGAAUGAAUGGUUGGACGAUAGAGAGACUGUCUAGUCUAUUAAAUUUGAAUUUAACUUUUGUGUGAAAAGGCAUAAGUGCUUUAGGGGGACGAUAAGACCCUAUAAAACUUUAUAUUGAAAAGAUUAUUUUUAUAAUAUUAUUAAAUAAAAAUUAAUUGGAUAUAUUUGACUGGGGCGGUUGGAAUAGAAUUGAUUAUCUGUUCAAAUAAUAUAAUACUAAUAAGUAGAAAUUUGAACCUUUAAUUUAAGGAUUAAAAGAUCAAGUUACUUUAGGGAUAACAGCGUUAUUUUCUUUGAGAGUUCUUAUCGACAAGAUUAGUUGCGACCUCGAUGUUGAAUUAAGAUAAACUUUUAGGUGCAGAAGUUUAAAUUAGUAGGUCUGUUCGACCUUUAAUAUCUUACAUGAUUUGAGUUCAAACCGGUGUGAG
RNAcentral lists this ribosomal RNA (544 nucleotides) under Aretopsis amabilis. Its description in RNAcentral is "partial large subunit ribosomal RNA". It matches the Rfam family "Bacterial large subunit ribosomal RNA", at positions 1819 to 2625 of the family's 2925-position model. Lineage: Eukaryota; Metazoa; Arthropoda; Malacostraca; Decapoda; Alpheidae. The record is from RNAcentral.